AACGUAGGAGACAAACGUUAUCCGGAGUUACUGGGCGUAAAGGGCGUGUAGGUGGUUAUGUAAGUCUGGCGUGAAAUUUUUCGGCUUAACCGGGAAAGGUCGUCGGAUACUGCACAACUAGAGGACGGUAGAGGCGUGUGGAAUUCCGGGUGUAGUGGUGAAAUGCGUAGAGAUCCGGAGGAACUCCAGUGGCGAAGGCGACACGCUGGGCCGUACCUGACACUGAUGCGCGACAGCAUGGGGAGCAAACAGG
RNAcentral lists this ribosomal RNA (253 nucleotides) under uncultured bacterium. RNAcentral describes it as "partial 16S ribosomal RNA". It matches the Rfam family "Bacterial small subunit ribosomal RNA", at positions 524 to 776 of the family's 1533-position model. The record is from RNAcentral.